GAUGAAGAACGCAGCGAAAUGCGAUACGUAAUGUGAAUUGCAAAUUCAGUGAAUCAUCGAGUCUUUGUACGCACAUUGCGCCCCCUGGUAUUCCGGGGGGCAUGCCUGUCCGAGCGUCAUUGCUGCCCUCAAGCACGGCUUGUGUGUUGGGCCCCGUCCUCCGAUCCCGGGGGACGGGCCCGAAAGGCAGCGGCGGCACCGCGUCCGGUCCUCGAGCGUAUGGGGCUUUGUCACCCGCUCUGUAGGCCCGGCCGGCGCUUGCCGAUCAACCCAAAUUUUUAUCCAGGUUGACCUCGGAUCAGGUAGGGAUACCCGCUGAACUUAAGCAUAUCAAUAAGCGGAGGA
RNAcentral lists this unclassified non-coding RNA (345 nucleotides) under soil metagenome. RNAcentral's name for it is "partial contains 5.8S ribosomal RNA, internal transcribed spacer 2, and large subunit ribosomal RNA". The stretch from base 1 to 119 matches the Rfam family "5.8S ribosomal RNA", at positions 35 to 154 of the family's 154-position model. The record is from RNAcentral.